RNAcentral lists this ribosomal RNA (1038 nucleotides) under Triticum aestivum (bread wheat). Its description in RNAcentral is "partial small subunit ribosomal RNA". Lineage: Eukaryota; Viridiplantae; Streptophyta; Magnoliopsida; Poales; Poaceae. The record is from RNAcentral.
AUGCAAACUCUUGGCUUUGUUCCAUCUAAGUCUGACACCUCACUGUUUAUUUAUAACAAGUGCAAUACUCAUAUCUUUGUUCUCAUCUACGUUAAUGAUAUCAUUGUUACAAGCUCAUCUGAUGAAGCCAUAACAGGAUUAUUGAAGGAUCUUAGUGCAGAGUUUGCCCUUAAGGAUCUUGGAGAUCUGCACUAUUUCCUAGGGAUAGAAGUGAAGAAACAUAAUGGUGGACUUCACUUGUCUCAAGAAAAAUAUGCAACUGAUCUGGUAAGAAAGGCUGGUUUGCAAGGCUGUAAACCUUCACCUACUCCAUUGUCCAGUUCAGAAAAAUUGUCUCUUACAGAAGGACAAGCCUUGAGCCAGGAAGACAGCACUAAAUACAGAAGUCUUGUAGGUGCACUUCAAUAUCUUACUCUUACAAGACCUAAUAUAUCAUUUGCUGUUAACAAAGUCUGUCAAUUUCUUCAUGCACCCACUAUUGUUCACCUGACUGCUGCUAAGCGAAUAGUUAGAUAUGUCAAGAACACCCUUAAUAUUGGUCUUAACUUCAGCAAGUCAUCAUCCACAUUGCUUAGUGCUUUCUCAGACUCUGACUGGGCAGGUUGUUUGGAUGACAGACGUUCUACUGGGGGAUUUGCAGUGUUCUUUGGUCCUAACUUGAUUUCAUGGUGUGCAAGGAAACAAGCCACUGUCUCCAGGUCCAGUACUGAAGCAGAAUACAAGGCAUUAGCAAAUGCUACAGCUGAAAUCAUAUGGAUGCAGUCUCUCCUAAGGGAGCUUGGUGUAAAAAGCAAACAAGCUCCAUGCUUAUGGUGUGACAAUUUGUGUGCAACUUAUUUGUCUGCUAAUCCUGUUUUUCAUGCUAGGAUGAAACAUAUUGAAAUUGAUUUUCAUUUUGUCAGAGAGCGAGUGGCUCAAAAACAGCUUGAUAUUCGUUUUGUGCAUUCCAAGGAUCAGGUUGCAGAUGGAUUCACCAAGGCUCUACCCAUCAGAAAUUUUGAAGACUUCAAACAUAAUCUCAACUUAAUGAAGUUGUGA